UACGUAGGGAGCAAGCGUUGUCCGGAAUCAUUGGGCGUAAAGCGCGCGUAGGUGGCUUCGUAAGUCCGUUGUGAAAGUCAAAGGCUCAACCUUUGAAAGCCGAUGGAUACUGCGGAGCUAGAGUACGGAAGAGGCGAGUGGAAUUCCUGGUGUAGCGGUGGAAUGCGCAGAUAUCAGGAGGAACACCAAUAGCGAAGGCAGCUCGCUGGGACGUUACUGACACUGAGGCGCGAAAGCGUGGGGAGCGAAC
RNAcentral lists this ribosomal RNA (250 nucleotides) under uncultured bacterium. RNAcentral describes it as "partial 16S ribosomal RNA". It matches the Rfam family "Bacterial small subunit ribosomal RNA", at positions 524 to 773 of the family's 1533-position model. The record is from RNAcentral.